CAGGAAGUGAUGCAAUGUGAUGCAUGUAGAUGUCUUGAAGGAUUUGCAGCAUGAUGCAGUACUACUUUUACUUGCUGUUAGGACAAGAUGCGCAUGAUUAUAUAAAUGUGGCGCACUCUCAUGCAGAGGU
Colossoma macropomum (tambaqui) is the source of this 130-nucleotide long non-coding RNA. RefSeq lists it as uncharacterized. The transcript has 3 exons. Lineage: Eukaryota; Metazoa; Chordata; Actinopteri; Characiformes; Serrasalmidae. The record is from RefSeq and is a predicted model, not a curated record.